This 253-nucleotide ribosomal RNA is filed under the name uncultured bacterium. RNAcentral describes it as "partial 16S ribosomal RNA". It matches the Rfam family "Bacterial small subunit ribosomal RNA", at positions 524 to 776 of the family's 1533-position model. The record is from RNAcentral.
UACGUAGGUGGCAAGCGUUGUCCGGAUUCACUGGGCGUAAAGCGCGCGCAGGCGGUCUUCUACGUCUGGGGUGAAAACCCGGGGCUCAACCCCGGGACUGCCUUGGAUACGGGAAGACUCGAGGAUCGGAGAGGCAAGGGGAAUUCCACGUGUAGCGGUGAAAUGCGUAGAGAUGUGGAGGAACACCUGUGGCGAAGGCGCCUUGCUGGCCGAUUUCUGACGCUGAGGCGCGAAAGCGUGGGGAGCAAACAGG